Ictidomys tridecemlineatus (thirteen-lined ground squirrel) is the source of this 72-nucleotide non-coding RNA. NCBI's taxonomy places the organism in Eukaryota, Metazoa, Chordata, Mammalia, Rodentia, Sciuridae. The record is from Rfam.
UGGGUUGUGGCUCAGUGGCAGAGCACUUGCUUUGCACUUAAAAGGCACUGGGUUCAAUCCUCAGUACCACAU